This 1212-nucleotide long non-coding RNA is filed under the name Salvia miltiorrhiza (redroot sage). Its description in RNAcentral is "long non-coding RNA (SMIL_LNC006709)". Lineage: Eukaryota; Viridiplantae; Streptophyta; Magnoliopsida; Lamiales; Lamiaceae. The record is from RNAcentral.
GGGGUAAUAGCCGGUAAAUCCAUGAGAAAUUUUCAUUUUCUGGUUUAUAUCAUGACCCCUAAUUUUGGCGGCUAAAUACACCAAUUUUUAAUUGGUUCUGAUUUUUCCCACGGCGAAGGACUCCGGCGAAAUCAAAACUGACGUGGCAAGUACUUAGACAAAACGACGUCGUUUCAUUAUUAAUUAAAAUUAGUUUAUAUUUAAUUAAGAAUAAAAUUAUUAAUUAUAUCCCCUAAUCUAGCCACGUCACCCCCUCCCCUUCCCCCACCCCCUGCGCAAACCCUCCUCCUUCUCCAUCCCGGCGCCACCACCGUUUUUCGACCGUCUCCGUCGCCGACUAGACCAACGCCCUUCCUCCGGCGACUGGUCCAUGCCGCCAAGCACAGCGCUGCCCCCUCCUCUCUCUUUCCCGGCCACCCCUCUCCCUACGAAAUCCCGCCGCUGCAACCUGAAGAAUGGCAAACGGCCGCUGCUUCAGCCCAUCUCACCUCCUCGUCUCUGCACCUCACUCUCCCACAAUCGAGGCAAAAGGGUGAGCCCUAAUUUCCCCCCAUCAGUUCGACGGGAAAUGCCGCUCUUCCGGAGAAUUCGACGCCCUGCACCAGAGCUUAUCUCUCUCUGAAUUCUUGUUCACAACAGGGGUCGACCCCCCUCCCAUUCUGGUUCGACGUCGCCGUUUGAGAGAAUUGUGAAUUUGGUGUUGUGGAAUGAAUUUGGAGGUUGUGGAGGGCGGCGUAGGGGGGGAGAGAGGCGGAGACGGAGGUGCAGAGGAGAUAAGCGAGAGAGAGAAGCAGAGGCGGAAGCUCAAGCUCGAUCUGUUUGAGGCGGAGGAGAUGAGCGAGAGAGAGCAGAGGCGGAGGCUCUGGGCCGGCGAAGCUACCGGCCGGAGCUGUGGUGGCGGUCAAGGGGGAGGGCGGCGGAGCCGAGAGAUGAGAGAGAGUUGUGAAGCUGUGAGAGAGUGGUGACGUGUAAGAGAGAGAGAAAGUGGGGUGUGUGAGAGAGAGAGUGGGGAGUGUGUGUGUGUGUGACGUGGUUAUUCCGGCUGCCACGUUGGCAUUCCGGCGUCCACGUCAGUUUCGAUUUCGCCGGAUUCCUAAAUCGAGGGAAAAAUCAGAACCAAUUAAAAAUUGGUGUAUUUAGCCAUCAAAAUUAGGGGUCAUGAUAUAAACCAGAAAAUGAAAAUUUCUCAUGAAUUUAGCGGCUAUUACCCCU